Molecule: ribosomal RNA, 209 nt
Filed under: Kapaibacterium sp. (SeqCode)
Lineage: Bacteria; Pseudomonadati; Bacteroidota; Eximiradiia; Eximiradiales; Kapaibacteriaceae (SeqCode)
Description: Candidatus Kapabacteria bacterium (microbial mat metagenome) partial 16S ribosomal RNA
Rfam family: Bacterial small subunit ribosomal RNA
Source: RNAcentral
GAAUCGCUAGUAAUCGCGGAUCAGCUUGCCGCGGUGAAUACGUUCCCGGGUCUUGUACACACCGCCCGUCACACCAUGGGAGCGGGUUCUGCCAGAAGUGGUUAGCCUAACCGCAAGGGGGGCGAUCACCACGGCAGGGUUCGUGACUGGGGUGAAGUCGUAACAAGGUAGCCGUAUCGGAAGGUGCGGCUGGAUCACCUCCUUUCUAG